UAAGCAUAUAAGUAAGCGGAGGAUAAGAAACUAAAUAGGAUUCCCUCAGUAAUGGCGAAUGAACAGGGAUAAGCUCAACAUGGAAAUCGUGGCCUCUGGCCUUGAAUUGUAAUCUCAAGAUGUGCUGCUAACGGGGGCGCAGGUGUAAGCCUCUUGGAAAAGAGCAUCAACGAGGGUGAGAAUCCUGUUUGUCACCUGCAGUCCUCCGUGUACGGCGUACACUCUACGAGUCACGUUCCUCGGGAUUGGAGCGCAAACUGGGUGGUAAAUUUCAUCUCAAGCUAAAUAUGGGUUCGAAACCGAUAGCAAACAAGUACCAUGAGGGAAAGAUGAAAAGGACUUUGAAAAGAGAGUUAAAAGUGCCUGAACUUGCUGAAAGGAAAGCGGAUGGAACCAGUCUUGCUUGGCGAGAUUGUUGCGUGCCACAGUGAUUCACCUCGGUUUCAGCGCAAGCGUUGCUGUGGCGUUUGAUCUGGGCGCACGUGAUGCUUCUUGCCUUGUUUGUCAUCGUCUGUUUGGGGGUGAGGAUACCUCUCGGGACAUGACAGCUUGCCCCUGGGUGAGCGAACGUGCCUUGCAGAACUCACGUCCAAACUGAUAUGAUGACUGAAUGGUUCUAUUCGACCCGUCUUGAAA
This 636-nucleotide ribosomal RNA is filed under the name Polykrikos hartmannii. RNAcentral's name for it is "partial large subunit ribosomal RNA". It matches the Rfam family "Eukaryotic large subunit ribosomal RNA", at positions 35 to 659 of the family's 3401-position model. Lineage: Eukaryota; Dinophyceae; Gymnodiniales; Gymnodiniaceae. The record is from RNAcentral.